Long non-coding RNA from Triticum dicoccoides, 1431 nucleotides. RefSeq lists it as uncharacterized. The transcript has 7 exons. Lineage: Eukaryota; Viridiplantae; Streptophyta; Magnoliopsida; Poales; Poaceae. The record is from RefSeq and is a predicted model, not a curated record.
UGGAUCGCGUCAGGCGUGGCGGCGGCAGGACCGCGGGCGCAGCUCCCCUCUGCGUGUUGCGCGGCACCCCUCCGGCAGGACUGCCGGCGCAGCUACCUCAGGCAGGGCCGCUGCCGUAUCUCUCCUAUGCGUGCUAUGCGGCUCCCUUCUGGCACGACCGCGGCCCUCUUUCUUCGCCGCGGUGCUCCUCUGGCAACACCGCCGGCACCCUCCCAUCUGCGUGCGCCGCAGCGCCCCUCCAACAGGACGGCUGGCCCUCUGCAUGCGGCACGGCGCCCCUCCAGCAGGAGGGCAGGCCCAGCCCCCCUCUGCGUGCGGCGUCGCGCCUCUCUGGCCGCGUUUCUCCUCGGUUUGUUACCUGCCUCAGUUUCUCCCAAGAUGCAUCCGGUGUCGAUGGGGACGUCCAGAGCUGGUACAGGGCUAGCUUCUCUCCCGUGCUCAUUAUGUUCUCAGCAAUGGGCUCCACGCGACUGCUGCCCAUCUCGACGCCGUCUGUGGACUUGAAGGUCCCUAAUUGAUGUUUGGCGUUCCCUCUCCUACUAAUGUUGGUGCCGGUGCUCCACUUCCUCUCCCCACCAUCUCCACAAGAAACUGAUGGAUUUUUACCCUUUAAAUUCUGCUCCGCCUCACCUCAUUUUUGUACCCAUCGACCUCCAGUACUGGAGGGUCCCUCUGCCAGAACACUCAUACUGCUCCCGGCUGUACUUGCUCGAUUACACCCAAGUACUGUUCAUUCGUCUUCCCUCUAUGCCUACACAAACACAUUCGAUUUCUGCCUCCUACUGGUACAUAAUCUCCACCCCGGUUGCUUUGCUAAUUCUGGAUUUUGUUUGAUCAAUAUCAAUCUGAUUUUAAUUUUGCUUCAUUGAUGUAAUUCUUUGAAUGAGACGAUUAAACACAAACGCCUUGCAUUUCCCCCCUGUGUUAGAUAGGUGUCUAUAUAUAUAUGUCUUAUCCUGAUUGUACGUUUUAUCUGUUCUAAAGAGAAGUUUCUCUAUCGACAAUACUAAUUCAGUGCCUCUGUUUCCUUCAACAAAGGUUAGCAACUUUUAAAUAUUAAUCCCUUAGUAUAUCGGACUAUUAACUUGACAUGUCAAGCUUUUUUAGACAGCUCAAGAUCAAGCCUACUGCCCUCUUCAACUUCAUCCAAAAUAAGUGCUCAGAGAUCUGGAGCAAAAAGAAGAAUAGAUUUCACCAACGAUGAUGGCAAUAAAUCAUUCAGCUCAAAGGAACAUGACCAUAAUCCUUCCAAAUAUGCAACUCAAAGGAGCCGGAAGCAAGUACUACGAAAAAGCACAAGCAAGAGACAACUUGCACUCUGCUACAAAUGAGGAAUAACGUACAUCACCUACAACCAGAAAUAACAUAGUGCUUAUGUACAUACCACUUUGCUCAGCUUCUAUUGUAAUCAAGAAACAUUACAAAUUUUGU